GGACUACUGGGGUUUCUAAUCCUGUUCGCUCCCCACGCUUUCGCUCCUCAGCGUCAGUACCGGCCCAGACCACCGCCUUCGCCACUGGUGUUCCUCCUGAUAUCUGCGCAUUUCACCGCUACACCAGGAAUUCCGUGAUCCCCUGCCGGACUCUAGCCAUAGCAGUAUCGGGUGCGACUCCAGGUUAAGCCUGGAGGUUUAACACGCCGACUUACUAAGCCGCCUACGAGCUCUUUACGCCCAAUAAAUCCGGACAACGCUCGCCCCCUACGUAUUACCGCGGCUGCUGGCAC
RNAcentral lists this ribosomal RNA (293 nucleotides) under uncultured bacterium. Its description in RNAcentral is "partial 16S ribosomal RNA". The record is from RNAcentral.